Molecule: ribosomal RNA, 253 nt
Filed under: uncultured bacterium
Lineage: Bacteria
Description: partial 16S ribosomal RNA
Rfam family: Bacterial small subunit ribosomal RNA
Source: RNAcentral
UACGGAGGAUCCAAGCGUUAUCCGGAUUUAUUGGGUUUAAAGGGUGCGUAGGCGGAUUGAUAAGUUAGAGGUGAAAUGUCCGAGCUCAACUCGGGAACUGCCUCUAAUACUGUUGAUCUAGAGAGUAGAUGCGGUAGGCGGAAUGUAUGGUGUAGCGGUGAAAUGCUUAGAGAUCAUACAGAACACCGAUUGUGAAGGCAGCUUACCAAUCUAUAUCUGACGUUGAGGCACGAAAGCGUGGGGAGCAAACAGG